CCAACGUGGACAUCCUGUGAGGCGGCUCUUAUGCGGCUCUGUCCGUGUGGUGUAUGGGAGCAUAGCACUCUAGUGCCAUGACAUUGGAUAGCAUGCAUGUCCCCAGCAUUUAGCUGGUGAGGAUGGUGUCUUGUAUAUUUCUAGGCCUUCAGCCUCACGGGCCGUUACUGGGGAGGUUAACCAUGCAGCGUACAGCA
Neoarius graeffei (lesser salmon catfish) is the source of this 197-nucleotide small nucleolar RNA. RefSeq annotates it as small nucleolar RNA SNORA73 family. NCBI's taxonomy places the organism in Eukaryota, Metazoa, Chordata, Actinopteri, Siluriformes, Ariidae. The transcript has a single exon. The record is from RefSeq and is a predicted model, not a curated record.